UUUCCGUAGGUGAACCUGCGGAAGGAUCAUUAUUGUAUAACCGAUGUACGAGUGCUGUCCCUUACCCGAAAGUUCUUGCACGCCCGAGUGCCCUCACACACAUCCAUCUUACCCCUAUGUGCCCCACCGCGAGAUUCCCCCCUUGGCUUGUUCGCAGGCGCGCUUAUGUUUUCACACAAACUUUUUAUACAGUGUAUAAUCUAUUUUUUAUUUUUGCGAUCCCGCAAUCAAUGCAACUUUUAACAACGGAUCCCUUUGCUCCUGCAGCGAAGAAGACCC
Molecule: unclassified non-coding RNA, 279 nt
Filed under: plant metagenome
Description: partial contains small subunit ribosomal RNA, internal transcribed spacer 1, and 5.8S ribosomal RNA
Source: RNAcentral